CCUACGGGUGGCUGCAGUGGGGAAUAUUGGACAAUGGGGGCAACCCUGAUCCAGCCAUGCCGCGUGUGUGAAGAAGGCCCUCGGGUUGUAAAGCACUUUCAGUGAGGAAGAACGCCUGGUGGUUAAUACCCAUCAGGAAAGACAUCACUCACAGAAGAAGCACCGGCUAACUCCGUGCCAGCAGCCGCGGUAAUACGGAGGGUGCGAGCGUUAAUCGGAAUUACUGGGCGUAAAGCGCGCGUAGGUGGCUUGAUAAGCCGGUUGUGAAAGCCCCGGGCUCAACCUGGGAACGGCAUCCGGAACUGUCAAGCUAGAGUGCAGGAGAGGAAGGUAGAAUUCCCGGUGUAGCGGUGAAAUGCGUAGAGAUCGGGAGGAAUACCAGUGGCGAAGGCGGCCUUCUGGACUGACACUGACACUGAGGUGCGAAAGCGUGGGUAGCAAACAGGAUUAGAAUACCCUAGUAGUC
This 466-nucleotide ribosomal RNA is filed under the name Vreelandella stevensii. RNAcentral describes it as "partial 16S ribosomal RNA". It matches the Rfam family "Bacterial small subunit ribosomal RNA", at positions 338 to 795 of the family's 1533-position model. Lineage: Bacteria; Pseudomonadati; Pseudomonadota; Gammaproteobacteria; Oceanospirillales; Halomonadaceae. The record is from RNAcentral.